RNAcentral lists this unclassified non-coding RNA (337 nucleotides) under soil metagenome. RNAcentral describes it as "partial contains 5.8S ribosomal RNA, internal transcribed spacer 2, and large subunit ribosomal RNA". The stretch from base 1 to 120 matches the Rfam family "5.8S ribosomal RNA", at positions 35 to 154 of the family's 154-position model. The record is from RNAcentral.
GAUGAAGAACGCAGCGAAAUGCGAUAAGUAAUGUGAAUUGCAGAAUUCAGUGAAUCAUCGAAUCUUUGAACGCACAUUGCGCCCCUUGGUAUUCCAUGGGGCAUGCCUGUUCGAGCGUCAUUUGUACCUUCAAGCCUUGCUUGGUGUUGGGUGUUUGUCUCGCCUCUGCGCGCAGACUCGCCUCAAAACAAUUGGCAGCCGGCGUAUUGAUUUCGGAGCGCAGUACAUCUCGCGCUUUGCACUCAGAACGACGACGUCCAAAAGUACAUUUUUACACUCUUGACCUCGGAUCAGGUAGGGAUACCCGCUGAACUUAAGCAUAUCAAUAAGCGGAGGA